GCAUUGGCGCGGCUGGCGGCGGCAAUGAGCUCCCGCGAGUCGUCGCUGCGCAUGAAGAGGACCACGACGCGCGCGUUGGGCUUCUGCAACAGUUCUCGGAUCACGCUGUCGUAGGACUUGCGGAUGUUGGAGCGGCCCACCUUCUCCGCCGUAGCGAUGCAGAUGUUGCGCAGGCGAGCUUCCUGCUCGAAGGCCUCGAUCCCUGUCUCCCCGUAAUCACCCUCGGAGGCUACUGUGGACACGUAGGUCCAGUUGAAGAAGCGCAAGAUCUCAGCCAUGGCUUUGGCCUGGUAGAAGUCGGGGGGCACGGUCCUGGCAAAGUAAUCAUAGCGCGACUUGUCACUGAGUUUGGCACUGGUGGAUGCGUAGCUGAUCUGAGGGAUCUGGAAGAGCCGCAGCAGGACUAGGAGACUCUGGACAAAAUGGCCUAUACUGACUUAUUUAGGCAUAGGAAUAUUGCUUCACUCAGCCUGACUGAAAUGGCAGGUGUCACCAAACAGGUACUGUCAUUACUUCUAGAAUGGGUGCCUGGCUUCCACUGGAUUUAUGUACCACUAUGGAAGGCUUGGUGAUAGGAGCCCUGUCUAUGCAUAGCUUGACUUUGUUAAGAGGUUUCUGGCUAGCACUGGAGAGGCCAUCUCUUCUUGAUACAAUGAUUUUCUCAUCUUCAAGUUAUAUUA
This 680-nucleotide non-coding RNA is filed under the name Pongo abelii (Sumatran orangutan). Lineage: Eukaryota; Metazoa; Chordata; Mammalia; Primates; Hominidae. The record is from RNAcentral.